GAACGCACCUUGCGCUCCUUGGUAUUCCGAGGAGCAUGCCUGUUUGAGUGUCAUUAAUAUAUAUCAACCUUUCUCUUGUUGAAUGGUUUGGAUGUGGGGGCUUGCUGGUCUCUAAUAGGGUUCAGCUCUCCUGAAAUGCAUUAGCAGAACAACCUGUUCAUUGGUGUGAUAACUAUCUACGCUUUUGAAUGUAAAGGGGACAGUUCAGCUUUCUAACCGUCUUUGGACAAUCUAUCAUUUAUGUGACCUCAAAUCAGGUAGGACUACCCGCUGAACUUAAG
RNAcentral lists this unclassified non-coding RNA (281 nucleotides) under Cortinarius urbicus. RNAcentral's name for it is "sequence contains 5.8S rRNA gene". The stretch from base 1 to 53 matches the Rfam family "5.8S ribosomal RNA", at positions 102 to 154 of the family's 154-position model. The record is from RNAcentral. Lineage: Eukaryota; Fungi; Basidiomycota; Agaricomycetes; Agaricales; Cortinariaceae.